UCUCAGUCAAUCAAAUUUUCCAUAUCCCCAAUUUCUGAAGGCAGCGGACCAGAUAAUUGAUUCACAUGCAAAUAGAGAGUCUCUAGUUUACUUAAGUUAGCUAGAGAAUGAGGGAUUGGACCGCUGAGAUUGUUUUGAUAUAGCACCAACUCAACAAGAUUUUCCAUAUCUCCAAUUUCUGAAGGCAGCAGACCAGAUAAUUGAUUUUCAAACAAAAAGAGCUUCUCUAGUCUACUUAAAUUAGUCAGAGAGUGAGGAAUUGGACCA
Molecule: long non-coding RNA, 267 nt
Organism: Telopea speciosissima
Lineage: Eukaryota; Viridiplantae; Streptophyta; Magnoliopsida; Proteales; Proteaceae
Exons: 4
Source: RefSeq, a predicted model, not a curated record